GAUGAACGCUAGCGGGAGGCCUAACACACGCAAGCCGAGCGGUAUUUGUUCUUCGGAACAGAGAGAGCGGCGCACGGGUGCGGAACACGUGUGCAACCUGCCUUUAUCUGGGGGAUAGCCUUUCGAAAGGAAGAUUAAUACCCCAUAAUAUAUUGAGUGGCAUCAUUUGAUAUUGAAAACUCCGGUGGAUAGAGAUGGGCACGCGCAAGAUUAGAUAGUUGGUGAGGUAACGGCUCACCAAGUCAAUGAUCUUUAGGGGGCCUGAGAGGGUGAUCCCCCACACUGGUACUGAGACACGGACCAGACUCCUACGGGAGGCAGCAGUGAGGAAUAUUGGACAAUGGGUUAGCGCCUGAUCCAGCCAUCCCGCGUGAAGGACGACGGCCCUAUGGGUUGUAAACUUCUUUUGUAUAGGGAUAAACCUACUCUCGUGAGAGUAGCUGAAGGUACUAUACGAAUAAGCACCGGCUAACUCCGUG
RNAcentral lists this ribosomal RNA (479 nucleotides) under uncultured bacterium. RNAcentral describes it as "partial 16S ribosomal RNA". It matches the Rfam family "Bacterial small subunit ribosomal RNA", at positions 28 to 507 of the family's 1533-position model. The record is from RNAcentral.